This 254-nucleotide ribosomal RNA is filed under the name uncultured bacterium. RNAcentral's name for it is "partial 16S ribosomal RNA". It matches the Rfam family "Bacterial small subunit ribosomal RNA", at positions 524 to 777 of the family's 1533-position model. The record is from RNAcentral.
UACGUAGGGUGCAAGCGUUAAUCGGAAUUACUGGGCGUAAAGCGUGCGCAGGCGGUGAUGUAAGACAGGUGUGAAAUCCCCGGGCUUAACCUGGGGGCUGCAUUUGAUACGUGUUGUCUAGAGUGAGGAAGAGGGUUGUGGAAUUCCCGGUGUAGUGGUGGAAUGCGUAGAUAUCGGGAGGAACACCAGUGGCGAAGGCGGUUGCCUGGAGCUUUGCUGACGCUGAUGCGCGAAAGCGUGGGGAGCGAGUCCGG